GAGAGAGUAGAUAGAAUGUUGGACGGGACAAUUGGGUGUUUCAGUAAGGAUGAGAGCACCAAGUUCUAAAGUAGGUUAGCUUAGAAGGGGGCCUUUAUUGUCUCAUCGCCUUCAUCGUGGUGACAUGAUAAAAGAGAGAGAGAGGGAAUGGAUUCAUAGGGAGAGCUCCAAUUCAACUAUGCAUUGGAGUAGAUACGGAGUAGAUACGUUUGUAGUGCCUCGAGGUUCCCUAGUGCUUCCUUAGCUUUCUCUAUUGCCUCCUUCACCUUAAAUUUAUGGUGCUGAGAUGAGAGAGGAGAGAAGAGAUGAGGUAAGGAAGGAAGGAGGAGGUGAAAGAGGAGAUAGGAUAAAUAGAGAGGAGGUAGAUACGAAGAGAGGAGGAAUGAGGGGAGACAUAGGUGGAGUGGUAAAAUUCGUAUCAAAGAAUCAAAUUUUUUUAAAAUUAUUUGAUUAGAAUAAGAGGG
This 464-nucleotide long non-coding RNA is filed under the name Musa acuminata (dwarf banana). RNAcentral's name for it is "long non-coding RNA (MACU_LNC008502)". The record is from RNAcentral. Lineage: Eukaryota; Viridiplantae; Streptophyta; Magnoliopsida; Zingiberales; Musaceae.